CUGCAUACGAUGUUAGCACGUGCAAAUCACUUAAAACGUGUACUGAGUGGACCCCGUCUGUCAGGUGAGGAGCCACCUCCUACCUAGGUGCGUCGACGUUGGAGACGAGACGAGAGGAGGGUAGAGGGAUAUUUAUACCUCCCGUACAUACGUAACGAGUAUAGGGGGUAGGUAGGUUUCUUCGUCGUCGUCGAUGAACAAGUAGAGUAUAGUAGGUCCGAUCAAUCAAUGGUUCAAUUGAUCGGAUGAAUCGGCUAGACAUUGUGCAGUGUGAAGCGAUCGGUCGGUGGUAAUUUAGUCUUUGGCUACCGACGACGCGUACGGAAGAAGAAGAAGAGGAGCCAGCUUGGCCACGAGGAAAGCCAAAGUGGCCAUCGACCUUUACCACCGGCCUCGCCGGCGUUGGUACCGAAGAAGGCGGGAAGCUGCCACUAUACAGGGCCCGCCCUCGGACGCAGGGUACCCGACAGGCUACUAAAACUGAAGGUCCACGAAGCCGAACGGCCAGGCUCAUGAAUCCUAGCGGCACGAGGUGCGUCCCCUGCCGCACUCGCAGCGGGUUAUCUUCAACGUCGUUUAUCAAAAGGGCGACAUAAUGAAAACUUGUCGCUUUCAUGAAGUUGUCUGUUUACAUAUAAGGGUCUCAAUGUUGUGCGGGUCAAAAGGGAGGUCAAAACAAGGACGUAAAGAAAAGAGAAGAGAGAUUGGAUCGUCACACAGAUGUUGAAACAUUACAAGCCGACAUUAAAGUAAACCGUAUUUUUGAUUUCUUUUGUUUUUUUUUGAUCCACAGUACUUUUUUUAUAAUGUUAUUCGUAACAAGCUUUAAUACAUGAUUCAAGUUUUAAUAUAUGAUACGUCGUAAAUGG
Molecule: ribosomal RNA, 869 nt
Filed under: Triticum aestivum (bread wheat)
Lineage: Eukaryota; Viridiplantae; Streptophyta; Magnoliopsida; Poales; Poaceae
Description: partial small subunit ribosomal RNA
Source: RNAcentral